RNAcentral lists this ribosomal RNA (466 nucleotides) under uncultured bacterium. RNAcentral describes it as "partial 16S ribosomal RNA". It matches the Rfam family "Bacterial small subunit ribosomal RNA", at positions 28 to 507 of the family's 1533-position model. The record is from RNAcentral.
GAUGAACGCUGGCGGCGUGCUUAACACAUGCAAGUCGAACGGAAAGGCUCCUGCUUGCAGGGGUACUCGAGUGGCGAACGGGUGAGUAACACGUGGGUGAUCUGCCCUGCACUUCGGGAUAAGCCUGGGAAACUGGGUCUAAUACCGGAUAGGACGAUGGUUUGGAUGCCAUUGUGGAAAGUUUUUCGGUGUGGGAUGAGCUCGCGGCCUAUCAGCUUGUUGGUGGGGUAAUGGCCUACCAAGGCGUCGGCGGGUAGCCGGCCUGAGAGGGUGUACGGCCAUAUUGGGACUGAGAUACGGCCCAGACUCCUACGGGAGGCAGCAGUGGGGAAUAUUGCACAAUGGGCGCAAGCCUGAUGCAGCGAGGCCGCGUGGGGGAUGACGGCCUUCGGGUUGUAAACUCCUUUCGCUAGGGACGAAGCGUUUUGUGACGGUACCUGGAGAAGAAGCACCGGCUAACUACGUG